Molecule: ribosomal RNA, 996 nt
Filed under: uncultured bacterium
Lineage: Bacteria
Description: bacterial SSU rRNA
Rfam family: Bacterial small subunit ribosomal RNA
Source: RNAcentral
UGGGGGAUAUUGCACAAUGGGGGAAACCCUGAUGCAGCGACGCCGCGUGGAGGAAGAAGGUUUUCGGAUUGUAAACUCCUGUCGUUAGGGACGAUAAUGACGGUACCUAACAAGAAAGCACCGGCUAACUACGUGCCAGCAGCCGCGGUAAAACGUAGGGUGCAAGCGUUGUCCGGAAUUACUGGGUGUAAAGGGAGCGCAGGCGGACCGGCAAGUUGGAAGUGAAAACUAUGGGCUCAACCCAUAAAUUGCUUUCAAAACUGCUGGCCUUGAGUAGUGCAGAGGUAGGUGGAAUUCCCGGUGUAGCGGUGGAAUGCGUAGAUAUCGGGAGGAACACCAGUGGCGAAGGCGACCUACUGGGCACCAACUGACGCUGAGGCUCGAAAGCAUGGGUAGCAAACAGGAUUAGAUACCCUGGUAGUCCAUGCCGUAAACGAUGAUUACUAGGUGUUGGAGGAUUGACCCCUUCAGUGCCGCAGUUAACACAAUAAGUAAUCCACCUGGGGAGUACGACCGCAAGGUUGAAACUCAAAGGAAUUGACGGGGGCCCGCACAAGCAGUGGAGUAUGUGGUUUAAUUCGAAGCAACGCGAAGAACCUUACCAGGUCUUGACAUCCGAUGCAUAGUGCAGAGAUGCAUGAAGUCCUUCGGGACAUCGAGACAGAUGGUGCAUGGUUGUCGUCAGCUCGUGUCGUGAGAUGUUGGGUUAAGUCCCGCAACGAGCGCAACCCUUAUUGCCAGUUACUACGCAAGAGGACUCUGGCGAGACUGCCGUUGACAAAACGGAGGAAGGUGGGGAUGACGUCAAAUCAUCAUGCCCUUUAUGACCUGGGCUACACACGUACUACAAUGGCGUUUAACAAAGAGAAGCAAGACCGCGAGGUGGAGCAAAACUCAAAAACAACGUCUCAGUUCAGAUUGCAGGCUGCAACUCGCCUGCAUGAAGUCGGAAUUGCUAGUAAUCGCGGAUCAGCAUGCCGCGGUGAAUACGUUCCC